UACGUAGGGGGCAAGCGUUGUCCGGAUUUAUUGGGCGUAAAGAGCGUGUAGGCGGCCGUACAGGUCAGCUGUGAAAACUCGAGGCUCAACCUCGAGACGUCGGUUGAAACCGUACGGCUAGAGUCCGGAAGAGGAGAGUGGAAUUCCUGGUGUAGCGGUGAAAUGCGCAGAUAUCGGGAAGAACACCCGUGGCGAAGGCGGCUCUCUGGGACGGUACUGACGCUGAGACGCGAAAGCGUGGGGAGCGAACAGG
Molecule: ribosomal RNA, 253 nt
Filed under: uncultured bacterium
Lineage: Bacteria
Description: partial 16S ribosomal RNA
Rfam family: Bacterial small subunit ribosomal RNA
Source: RNAcentral